Molecule: long non-coding RNA, 412 nt
Filed under: Androctonus crassicauda
Lineage: Eukaryota; Metazoa; Arthropoda; Arachnida; Scorpiones; Buthidae
Source: RNAcentral
UGGCUCAAUUCUAAAUCCCGAAACCGCAGGGAAAACGGACGCCAGAAGGCAAACUCAACAGGCGAUCCAAUGGCACAGCCAACCUCAACAGCCGAAACCAAAACCAAGAGGAAGGCCAACCCAACAUCGGGGCCCCCAGCACACCCCGGUAAACGGGUUAUCCACCAGACCACACAGAAAGCAGCCAACCUAAGUCCGCAGCCGAGACAAACCAGCAGAAGUCACCUGCAAAAGCCUACUAGGCGGAGCCACUUCCGUUCGGCAAUUGCAAAGGCGCUGCAAACUGGAAUCCCAGCACCACUCAGCACCUCUUAGUAAUCCCUGUCACUAUAAACGUACCGGCCCGGACAGAUACAAGUAUAGUGACAGCCAGUAAGCCCCCUCACCUUGUCAAGGUGGGAUACUCUCGAGG